UGAGGUAGGUGCGAGAAAUGA
Caenorhabditis elegans is the source of this 21-nucleotide microRNA. The record is from Ensembl. NCBI's taxonomy places the organism in Eukaryota, Metazoa, Nematoda, Chromadorea, Rhabditida, Rhabditidae.